Molecule: ribosomal RNA, 1469 nt
Filed under: Candidatus Pacearchaeota archaeon ex4484_31
Lineage: Archaea; Nanobdellati
Description: bacterial SSU rRNA
Rfam family: Archaeal small subunit ribosomal RNA
Source: RNAcentral
UAAUUCCAGUUGAUCCUGCUGGAGAGUGCCGCUAUCAGGGUCUGUCAGCCAUGCAAGUCACAGGCUUUCCCGCUUAUGCGGGAAAGUGCUGGGCGAACUGCUGAGUAACACGUAGCUAAUCUACCCUUAGCUCCCGGAUAACCUCGGGAAACUGAGACUAAUCCGGGAUAGGCGAGGAAACUUGGAAAAGCCCUCGCUGAAAGCCUCUCUGAGGCGGCUAAGGAUGAGGCUGCGGCCUAUCAGGUAGUUGUUGGGGUAAAAGCCCAACAAGCCUAUGACGGGUAGGGGCCCUGAGAGGGGGAGCCCCCAGAAGGACUCUGAGACACUAGUCCUAGCCCUACGGGGUGCAGCAGGCGCGAAGAUUUUCCAAUGCCCGCAAGGGUGAGAAAGAGACCCUGAGUGCUCACGCUUUGCGUGAGCUUUUCCCGAGUGUAAAAAGCUCGGGGAAUAAGGGCUGGGCAAGACCGGUGCCAGCAGCCGCGGUAAUACCGGCGGCCCAAGUGGCACUCACGUUUAUUGGGUCUAAAACAUCCGUAGCCGGCCUCGUAAGUCCUAUGUUAAAUUGUCACGCUUAACGUGACAAACGCAUAGGAUACUGCGAGGCUAGGGACUGGGAGACGCAGCGGGUACGGCGAGGGUAACGGUAAAAUGUGUUAAUCCUCGCCGGACCAACAGGGCGAAGGCGCGCUGCGAGAACAGGUCCGACGGUCAGGGAUGAAGGCCAGGGGCGCAAAAGGGAUUAGAUACCCCUGUAGUCCUGGCUGUAAACGCUGCCCACUAAACAUCGCGAUCUCCUCGAGAGGUCGCGGUGCUGAAGCGAAGGCGGAAGUGGGCUACCUGGGGAGUACGGCCGCAAGACUGAAACUUAAAGGAAUUGGCGGGGGAGCAUUACAAGGGGUGACGCGUGCGGUUUAAUCAGAUUCUACACCGUGAACCUCACCAGGACCGACAGCAGGAUGAAGGUCAGUCUGAAGGGCUUACCUGACACGCUGAGAGGAGGUACAUAGCCGCCGUCAGCCUGUGCCGUGAGGUGAUCUGUUAAAUCAGGUAACAGGCGAGACCUGCGUGCCUAGUUGCCACCCGGUAAGGGGGCACUCUAGGCAGACUGCUCCCGCAAGGGAGAGGAAGGUGCAGGCAACGGUAGGUGGCAUGCCCCGAAUGCCCUGGGCUACACGCGCGCGGCAAUGGCGGCAACAAUGGGUUGCGACCCCGAAAGGGGAAGCUAAUCCCCUAAAUGCCGUCCUAGUCCAGAUCGAGGCUUGCAACUCAGCCUCGUGACGCUGGAAUCCCUAGUAAUCGGACGUUAGCAGCGUCCGGUGAAUAAGUCCCUGCUCCCUGCACACACCGCCCGUCAAACCGUCCGAGUUGCGCCUUGGUGAAGCCCUUCGGGGAAGAACCUUGGCGCAGCGAGGAAGGUUAAGUCGACACAUGGUAUCCGUAGGGGAACCUGCGGAUGGAUCACCUCCUAA